GGGGUGGGCAAGAGAAAUAAGAAAGUGAGAAAAAUUGAGUAGGUGGUUUCUUCACAAAGGAUUGUAUUAUGUGGGGAAUCGGAGCUAGAGGCUUCUCACAGUAAUUAAUUGAGAUGGAGUAUUGAAUCUAUAGUUUAUUAGAAUACCAAUCAGCAUGUAGGAUGAUGUUUGAAUCUGAUAAUUGAAUUCAGGGGAGUGUGAGUCUAAAGGAGAUGAAUAGUUACAAGUAUUGACUUUGAGAUUUAUUUAGAGGAUGGUGGUUUGCAGAAGGUUUUAAUAUUUGUUGCUUUUGG
This 293-nucleotide long non-coding RNA is filed under the name Physcomitrium patens. RNAcentral describes it as "long non-coding RNA (PPAT_LNC010733)". Lineage: Eukaryota; Viridiplantae; Streptophyta; Bryopsida; Funariales; Funariaceae. The record is from RNAcentral.